RNAcentral lists this long non-coding RNA (909 nucleotides) under Olea europaea (common olive). RNAcentral's name for it is "long non-coding RNA (OEUR_LNC011936)". Lineage: Eukaryota; Viridiplantae; Streptophyta; Magnoliopsida; Lamiales; Oleaceae. The record is from RNAcentral.
CCCUCUCGAUCUUAUUCACAGUUGGUGAACCGGAUGCCAUAGCCAAAAACAAAUCAACCUGGUAAAGAAUCAAAUCAAAUCAAUAAAAUAGUUAUACAAAUUUAUUGAGAAAUUUCGGGUGGGAUAAGAAAUCAGCGACAGGGUGAAGGUAUCUGGAUUCUGGGCGAAGAAAUAGAGAAAUAUUUGGGAGGAAUUAUAAGGUUUCUCUCAACGUGGUGAAUAAGGGCAACGGGACUUAGAUGUUCGAACAUUUUCGCGGAGAAAAUGACAGCUUUUUUGUUCAGACAUUUGAAGUUUGGACACGCAUUUUGUCUCCAGUUAUCCUCUUUCUGGGCCGUCCAAGUUGCCAAUCUUUUAAUAGUUACAAAAUUCUUAUAGAUGACAAAAUUCAUAUUCGCAUAUGCCUUUAUCCAUUACUAAACGUAAGGAGCAAAAAGGGAAUGCACAAUCUUGAAGACUUCGAUGUGUUUGUUAUAGUGAUCACAUGCAAAUAUCCAAAUAAGAUAUUUAUUUUAGUAGAUCGAUCAAUUCCUAAGCCUGUUGAAGACGAGCUACUCUAAUAAUACAACAUAUAAUGCUUGUAUGAAACUUUGCAAUAGCUUACACAAUGACAUUGUUGCUCGAUCAACUAUCAUACUUAGGUCAAAUGAAGUGAUGCCAUAGCCAAAAACAAAUCAACCUGGUAAAGAAUCAAAUCAAAUCAAUAAAAUAGUUAUACAAAUUUAUUGAGAAAUUUCGGCUGGGAUAAGAAAUCAGCGACAGGGUGAAGGUAUCUGGAUUCUGGGCGAAGAAAUAGAGAAAUAUUUGGGAGGAAUUAUAAGGUUUCUCUCAACAUGUGGUGAAUAAGGGCAACGGGACUUAGAUGUUCGAACAUUUUCGCGGAGAAAAUGACAGCUUUUUUGUUCAGAC